UCCAACUCCGGAAAAAUCAGGUAUUCACAGUUCUGGGAUAGGAGCGUAGGAUUCACUUGCACUACGGCGGGAUUCGUGUAGAAGAACAAAAGCUAGCAGAUACCACAGCCACGAUAGCAGCGAUGGGCGUGCAUGACCGAUGGCCUCUCGUUCUCAUGACGUUAAUGGCCAUGAUGUACCUCGGAUGUGAUUUCCAGGCGUCAGCACAGUCUCAGAGCCUUCAGGACAUCUUACAAGGUCUCCAGCAAAAUAUUGGAAACAUUACAAGGAUUGGUAAGAAUCUUUAUUAAUGAUCUUUUCUGUUUGUCGUUUUGUAUUACAAAUUUCAAAAUUUUCAGACUGCAGUUCCUGUGCAUUGUCUUUUGGGCAAAAACAAAAGAUAAUUUCAUGUUUUCUUUUUCUUUUUAACUGUUUUUGUUAUGUUUGUA
RNAcentral lists this long non-coding RNA (428 nucleotides) under Penaeus japonicus. Its description in RNAcentral is "uncharacterized LOC122248433". Lineage: Eukaryota; Metazoa; Arthropoda; Malacostraca; Decapoda; Penaeidae. The record is from RNAcentral.